RNAcentral lists this ribosomal RNA (479 nucleotides) under uncultured Planctomycetota bacterium. RNAcentral describes it as "bacterial SSU rRNA". It matches the Rfam family "Bacterial small subunit ribosomal RNA", at positions 364 to 833 of the family's 1533-position model. Lineage: Bacteria; Pseudomonadati; Planctomycetota. The record is from RNAcentral.
UUUCGCAAUGCCCGAAAGGGUGACGAAGCGACGCCGCGUGUGGGAAGAAGGCCUUCGGGUUGUAAACCACUGUCGGGAGUUAGGAAAUGUAAGGGUGCUAAUAGUAUCCUUACUUGACUAAGGCUCCGGAGGAAGCCACGGCUAACUCUGUGCCAGCAGCCGCGGUAAUACGGAGGCAGCAAGCGUUGUUCGGAAUUAUUGGGCGUAAAGAGCACGUAGGCGGCCUUGUAAGUCAGUUGUGAAAGCCUUCUGCUUAACGGAAGAACAGCAGCUGAUACUGCAAGGCUAGAGUGCGGAAGGGGAGAGUGGAACUUCUGGUGGAGCGGUGAAAUGCGUAGAUAUCAGAAGGAACACCGGCGGCGAAGGCGACUCUCUGGUCCGUAACUGACGCUGAGUGUGCGAAAGCUAGGGGAGCAAACGGGAUUAGAUACCCCGGUAGUCCUAGCCGUAAACGAUGGGCACUAAGUAGAGGGGUUUUA